This 490-nucleotide ribosomal RNA is filed under the name uncultured bacterium. Its description in RNAcentral is "partial 16S ribosomal RNA". It matches the Rfam family "Bacterial small subunit ribosomal RNA", at positions 29 to 507 of the family's 1533-position model. The record is from RNAcentral.
AUUGAACGCUGGCGGCAGGCUUAACACAUGCAAGUCGAGCGGUAGCACAGGGGAUCUUGCUCCCUGUGUGACGAGCGGCGGACGGGUGAGUAAUGUCUGGGAAACUGCCUGAUGGAGGGGGAUAACUACUGGAAACGGUAGCUAAUACCGCAUAACGUCGCAAGCCUAAAGAGGGGGACCUUCGGGCCUCUUGCCAUCAGAUGUGCCCAGAUGGGAUGAGAUAGUAGGUGGGGUUAUGGCUCACCUAGGCGACGAUCCGUAGCUGAUCUGAGAGGAUGAUCAGCCACCCUGGAGCUGAGCCAGGGUCCAGACUCCUGCGGGAGGCAGCAGUGGGGAAUAUUGCACAGUGGGGGCGAGCAUGAUGCAGCCAGGCCGAGUGUGUGGAGAAGGCGUUCGGGUUGUAAAGAACUUCCAGCGGGGAGGAAGGUCGUGCGCUUAAUACGUUCAGCAAUUGACGUUAAUCGGAGAAGAAGCACCGGCUAACUACGUG